Long non-coding RNA from Oreochromis niloticus (Nile tilapia), 1531 nucleotides. RefSeq lists it as uncharacterized. The record is from RefSeq and is a predicted model, not a curated record. Lineage: Eukaryota; Metazoa; Chordata; Actinopteri; Cichliformes; Cichlidae. The transcript is spliced from 5 exons.
CAACUUUGUGUGCAUGUGUCACAAUGCCAGGAGGACCCAUUCAGUGUUGUGUUAGAAAAAUUGAACUCAUUAACCCUUCAUGGACAUUAUAAAUGUUUAAAUGUGGCCUCAGGUAAAGACAGGAAAAGAGACUAUUACAAAUUCAACUGCAUCAGAGCUGGAAAAAAAAGUCGAAACAGCUACAGAGCAGUGGGCUGUGAGGCCUAUGUUUCAUUUAAAGUACUCAAAUGUUGGAAAGACCACACAGUCAUCGUGCAGCGUACAUAUGAUAAGCAUGAUGGGCAUGAUCCUUCGGACCCAAAAGACGCACAUUUCAACAAUAUUUCCAGUGGUUUGAGGAGGAAGAUUGAGGAACUGCUUUCCCUUGGAACUAAGCCAGCCAUCAUACUAACCGAAUGUCAUAAAUGGGCCAAAGAACAUGGACACAGAGAUCUUCACAACAGAGAGCAUUUUGUCACACCACGUGACACUGACAGUGUUAGAACCUGCAUGAUGAGGAAGAAGCACUUUAACUGUAGAGACAGUCAAAGUGUACAUACCUUACUUAAUGGAAAACAUCAAGAACAUGUUCUCUUCUAUCAACCAUACACAUCUGACCAAGAACUAAUGAUUGUUUUGCAGACACCUGUAAUGAAAUCAAACAUGGAGAACUAUGCAAAACAGUUAGUAUUUGUUGACACCACCCACCGUGUUAACCAGUAUUCAUUUCCCUUAUUCACACUUGUUGUAAGAGAUGAUCAUGGGCGUGGAGUCCCUGUGGCCUAUGCUAUUGUCAGCAACGAAAGUCAGAAAACCCUGGAAACUGUUCUUGGAAUAGUUUGUGAGCAUUUCCCAACUUCCCCGAGAGCAUUUAUGGUUGACAAAGACUUUGCGGAAAUAAAUGCUUUGCAGAAGGUUUUUCCAGAGUCAGCUAUCCUUCUAUGCUGGUACCAUGUCUUGCAGGCUGUUAAUCGAUGGCUUUCAAAAUCUGAGUCUGGGGUCCAUGGGCUUUCUAACACCCAAAAGAGAAAUGAAAUCAUUUCUUUCUUUGGUAAGCUGAAAGCUUGCACAUCUGAGGAAGACUUUAAAGCCACAUCAGCAGAGUUUUGCCAGACAUUUAAGCAAAACCCUUAUUGGCCACAUGUGGUGUGACUACGGCCGUCGCUUCAGUCACGCUCGUUCUGAAACAAACAAUGUGAUUGAAAGAUUUUUCCACCGCCUGAAAUACCAGUUUUUAUCUGGCUACAAGAAUAGGCGUCUGGAUGAUCUAAUUGAAGUGCUCCUAGGGAAGGCCGACGACUACUUCUCAGUCAUAAAAACCCUGCAAGAUGUGGGCCGCAUGAAAAACAGGUUUGCUGACACCUUGUCUCAAGUUUCAGACUCUGCUUCAAGACUGAUGAAAAGUGGUUGGGCUCUUAAAAUUACAGUCAAGAACAGCCAUGGAGUUAAUGCAUAUCAAGUCCCAUCUGAGUCAAGAGAAGACAUAGUGUAUGAUGUCUGCCCUGUUGAGUCCUACUGCAACUGUACAUAUGGCUUACGAGGACUUCUUUGC